AAUGCCCCAGCCCUCAAUUGUCAGUUCCUUUUCUAGCAACACGGCUGAGGACUCACAGGAAGCAAGUGGGUGAAAGUGGAUCUAUUAUGACCAUGUACCUUUGGAGAAAAGAAUUACAGAGUCAAGAUACAGAAGACUUAUGUUGGCACCUACUGACACUCCAGGCAAGGAGUAUAUAAUCUUGGCAAGAGCCUACAGCAGGCAUGAGCUGGAUCAGUAGUGCAGAUGCAAGAGAAGAGUAUGUGUGAGUGGCAACAGCUACACUGGAUUUUGUAGACUCCAUACUAAAGCUGAACUCUGAACAAAGUUCCCCUUCAGAAGGAAACGCACAUGCUCCUGAACACGCUACAGCUUUUUAAACUGAGCCCAUAAAGGAAGAUGAGUCACUGACCUCAUCUAGUGUGGGAGGAGAGCAAGCCAUGGAACAGAGCAAGCCCUAGGAGGGCUUUUCAUGAAAAUUGGCUUCUAUGGAACCUUACUUUAAUAUCAGAAGACAAUCAGACACCAGGACUUUGCUGUUACUACAUCAGCAAGUUAUAGCCCCAAAAGGAGAGAAAACCACAGUAGAGGAGAAGAUGGCAAUCAUCCUUUCACACUUCACCUUUGCCCCAAGCAGAGACUUCUCCUCCCAACCCAGCCUACCCAUUC
Molecule: long non-coding RNA, 648 nt
Organism: Chelonia mydas (Green sea turtle)
Lineage: Eukaryota; Metazoa; Chordata; Testudines; Cheloniidae
Exons: 3
Source: RefSeq, a predicted model, not a curated record